GGUCCGCGUAGCUCAGUUGGAAGAGCAUUGGGCUAGCAUUCCAAAGGCCGUAGGUUUGAAUCCCACCGUGACCA
Molecule: transfer RNA, 74 nt
Filed under: Paramuricea clavata
Lineage: Eukaryota; Metazoa; Cnidaria; Anthozoa; Malacalcyonacea; Plexauridae
Description: tRNA-Ala
Rfam family: tRNA
About the family: Transfer RNA (tRNA) molecules are approximately 80 nucleotides in length. Their secondary structure includes four short double-helical elements and three loops (D, anti-codon, and T loops).
Source: RNAcentral